GGAUGGUUGCAGAGUUUGGUUUAAUGUACUGGUCUUGAAAACCAGCGAGGGGUAACCCUCCGUGAGUUCUAAUCUCACACCAUCCGCCA
This 89-nucleotide transfer RNA is filed under the name Gilliamella apicola. RNAcentral's name for it is "tRNA-Ser". It matches the Rfam family "tRNA". From Rfam's summary of the family: Transfer RNA (tRNA) molecules are approximately 80 nucleotides in length. Their secondary structure includes four short double-helical elements and three loops (D, anti-codon, and T loops). Further hydrogen bonds mediate the characteristic L-shaped molecular structure. tRNAs have two regions of fundamental functional importance: the anti-codon, which is responsible for specific mRNA codon recognition, and the 3' end, to which the tRNAs corresponding amino acid is attached (by aminoacyl-tRNA synthetases). tRNAs cope with the degeneracy of the genetic code in two manners: having more than one tRNA (with a specific anti-codon) for a particular amino acid; and 'wobble' base-pairing, i.e. permitting non-standard base-pairing at the 3rd anti-codon position. The record is from RNAcentral. Lineage: Bacteria; Pseudomonadati; Pseudomonadota; Gammaproteobacteria; Orbales; Orbaceae.